UUAAUGUUUAAUUAGAAUUAGAAUAGAAUAUAAAAUUGUAUAGAUUUUUUAAAAAAAUAAUUUUGUUAAAAAAGUGGAGAUAUUUUAAUAUUUUAUACGUGUUAGUGGACAACCAUGCUUAGUCGCACUUUAAUAAUGCUAAUAAAUAUAUAUAUGCAUAGUUCGGCUGCUAUACUCUUACGAGUACAAUCGCCUUCGUACUCAUAAAUCGUUUUUGAUGAUAGAGUUUCAGAAUCGAUGAUCCGUGUCGUUGAAUAUUAUAUCUAGUGCAUUUAAAAUUUUUAAAAAUCAAAUUUCAUAAUUUUUCGACAUCAUUUACCUUACAAUCAAAAGCUCACAAAAUUGACAAUUUUUAAUGACCGAUAUAGAAUACUUGCUAGUUUAACGGUGUAAAAAAAUUAGAAUAGGUUGAAUAUUUGAUAAAAAAUUUUAUUUACUACCUAGAUAAAGAUCAAUAACUACGACCUUAAAUUGAAGGGUCCGAUCAUCUAUUUUUAAGACGCUAUUCGAUUUUGACUAUUUAUUUUAUGCCUGUUUGAUAGAUUUUAUUAUGAUUUUGAAAAAUUAUGAAAUUAAUUUUUUAUAAGUUUCAAAUACUCUAGAUUAUAUUUAACAUAGUGGAUCAUCGAUUCAAAAGCUCCAUCAUCGAAAAUAAUUUAUGAAUACGAAGGACUCUAAACUCAUAAGAGUAGUAGCUCUAUUACUUUUAUAUAUAUAUAUAUAUAUAUAUAUAUAAAGAGGGAGAGAGAGAGAGUUUGGGCCACUAUACUAUUAAUAGUGUCAAGUGUUUGGUGCUAUGCCUUUAAAUCUAUCAUUUUGAUCAUUUCCACAUGUUAGAUCAUAUUAUUCAAUCAACUACCCACUUAAUUCUAGAGGACGACUAUCAUUCUAAUUAGAGACUACUAUCAUCCUAACCACACAUCUUUUCAUCCAAUAGCCGAAAACCUAAUUGUACCAAGCGUUUAGUACUAUUAAUAGUAUAAUAACCUAAUUAUAUAUAUAUAUAUAUAUAUAUAUAUAUA
RNAcentral lists this long non-coding RNA (1022 nucleotides) under Ananas comosus (pineapple). RNAcentral describes it as "long non-coding RNA (ACOM_LNC014519)". Lineage: Eukaryota; Viridiplantae; Streptophyta; Magnoliopsida; Poales; Bromeliaceae. The record is from RNAcentral.